RNAcentral lists this non-coding RNA (27 nucleotides) under Homo sapiens (human). The record is from RNAcentral. Lineage: Eukaryota; Metazoa; Chordata; Mammalia; Primates; Hominidae.
CUGAUGCUCCUUAAAUUCCCAAAAUGC